Styela clava is the source of this 426-nucleotide long non-coding RNA. RefSeq lists it as uncharacterized. NCBI's taxonomy places the organism in Eukaryota, Metazoa, Chordata, Ascidiacea, Stolidobranchia, Styelidae. The record is from RefSeq and is a predicted model, not a curated record.
UAGCUCUACGAAAUCUACCUUUAAAUGCGCUAGAAGUGAAAAGCGUAUGGUUCAUAUGCCAAGAAGAAUCGUUAUAUUUUAUUUCUUAACAAUAAUCUGUCUGUUCCAUAUAUUGAUAAAAAUAUUUUAGAUAGACUUGUCUCGUGUCAAAGAACUGCAUUCCAAACCAAAAUGAUGAACAAAAUAUUGGCUCUGUUUCUGGUGUUGGCUGUUGCUUUAAUGAUGAUCCUCAGCAUAGUGGGGCGUCUAGACUGCAUUAAGGAAUGUGAAUACCCUCAAAAAUGCAUUCAAGGAAGUUGUCAAUAACCGCAAGAGUGGGGAUGAUGAUGUUGACUCUGCAUUAUGGGAAAAGAAUUAUUAUUAUCAGACAUCAUAAUCAAGAACUUAUUUCAACAUAUUGAAUAAAUAAAUGCAACUUUAUGAUUU